UGAGUAACACGUAUCCAACCUGCCGUCUACUCUUGGACAGCCUUCUGAAAGGAAGAUUAAUACAAGAUGGCAUCAUAAGUCCGCAUGUUCACAUGAUUAAAGGUAUUCCGGUAGACGAUGGGGAUGCGUUCCAUUAGAUAGUAGGCGGGGUAACGGCCCACCUAGUCUUCGAUGGAUAGAGGUUCUGAGAGGAAGGUCCCCCACAUUGGAACUGAGACACGGUCCAA
Molecule: ribosomal RNA, 227 nt
Filed under: uncultured bacterium
Lineage: Bacteria
Description: partial 16S ribosomal RNA
Rfam family: Bacterial small subunit ribosomal RNA
Source: RNAcentral